GAGAGGUGUCACCGGCUCCAGUCUCACCUCCACCUGCCUGAGAAGGGAAACGUCUCCUCACAGCAACACAGAAAAUCACAGACAUGGACAAACUGGCCGGGAUUGUCGGGAAAAAAGUGGGUGAGUCACAGUUUAACAGUUCAUACACUGUUAUUUAAAGUGUGAAGUGUCUGUGGCCUGAAGAGCGUGGCAGCACUUUGAGCUCACAUUCAGUGAUGGGCGGUUUGUGUUGGCUCAUGUUUUGGAACUAGUUCGAUGCACAGAAACAUACGAAGUAACAUCAGUACAGAAAAGGAGAGCACUUCUGUGAAUGAUGAAUUAGCCGGUGGAACAGGUCGGGCUGCUCUGCAGACACACCUGAUUCCUCAGCUGAGCCACCUGAUGGGCGUCGUCGGCCGCGCUCUCACCUGAGAGCUGAACUUAAAGCACACCUGAGUGCGCCUCAGAGACAGAAACACCGCAGAGAUGGACAACCUCGCACAGAUAGCCGGCCAAAAAGCGGGUAGCUUGGUGGAGGGGGCAGUGAAGGGAGCUCUGAAUUCAGCCAACAAGAACAAAGGUGAGAAGAAAGGAGGAGGAGGCGGCAUCUUCUCGAUGUUUGGAGGCAACAAGAACAAAAAUAAGGACAAAGACGAUAAAGGAGCGCCCCUCCCAAAUGUGCCCAACAAAGAUGAUAGUGGGGGCAAGAAACCAGUACCCGAAGGGAAUUUAGCGGGAACUACAGGAGGGAGCGUGGGACCGACGAUGGGAGGAGGUGCAGGAGGGAGCGUGGGACCGACGAUGGGAGGAGGUGCAGGAGGAAGUGGAGGAUCAGCUGGACCUGUAGGACAGGAAGGAGUCACAACAGACAGAGAUCUGAUGGAUGAUCUGUUCGAGCUGGGAGACGAAAUGAAAGGGAACUGAAGCAAAAGGAAGAAAACCCGACUCCCACAACCACUCAGAGAAGAUCCGGAAGGACGAGAGCGCCCACAUUUUUCUCUGGUCUACAGUUUUGCACAGAACUAAAGAUUUUAAUGCAUUAUCAGCCUAUUAUUCACCGUGUUUUAUUCACCGUGUUUUCUGCUUUUAGAUAACCAGUCAGUGUGUUUAACUUUAUCAUAAUAAUAGCACCAGCAAAGACGUUAUGAAUGAAUAAAUUUAAAUGUUUUACUGGAGGGGACUUUUCCUUCUUUUGGUCAGUUUGUCAGUAUUUUGUCUCGUAGAAGCUUCUCGUAAACUCCAUGGUGGAUGUUUUAAAACAUAUAUUAGUUUUAAUUUUAAGAAAAAUAAAAAUCUUACACAUAGUUCAAUAUAUGAUCAUUGAAAAUCAAUAAAAGCAAUCUGAAAUAAAUACUGUCAUAACAAACAGAAUUAAAUAAAGAAAUAAAUUUAUGAAAA
Long non-coding RNA from Astatotilapia calliptera (eastern happy), 1377 nucleotides. The record is from Ensembl. Lineage: Eukaryota; Metazoa; Chordata; Actinopteri; Cichliformes; Cichlidae.